RNAcentral lists this unclassified non-coding RNA (389 nucleotides) under Hevea brasiliensis (rubber tree). Lineage: Eukaryota; Viridiplantae; Streptophyta; Magnoliopsida; Malpighiales; Euphorbiaceae. The record is from RNAcentral.
GUUCAGCAAUUCCAUGAAAAGAUUAUCGUAUGUUGCAGAAAGUGGACGUUGGCAUGUGAUGAGAUUGUAUUGCAGUUUGAACAACAUUCCUGUCUAUUCAAGAGAAGAAACUGUUGUGACUAGAUAUGUGUUCAGUAACCCAAGCUAAUCUUGUCACUUGAUUCCCGUUUCUGAAAAGUAAAAAGAUAGGCAAUGCAAAGCUCUUUUACCUCAGGGAAGCAACAAUAGGCAAAGUUUUGUGCACGUUGCCUAUGUGCUAGCUAGGCAUAGGACUAUGAUGUAUACUGGCGUAGUAGUUGUGAAGUGAAAUAGGUCAACAGUCAUUUUCUUUUUGCCCACACAUAAUGUUCAGUGGUUUAUGCUACUAGACUGGCUCAUUUGUCAAAUUU